AUACUUAGCCAGUAGGAGAGAUACCAUGAUCAGGAAGGCGGUUCACCCAGGGCGAGGCUUCUCCAUUACACUCAGGUAGGCUGAGCUCUGUGAUUUCCGCCAAAUGUGGGAAACUUGACUGCAAAAUUUGUGGUAGUGGCAGGCAGCAUUCACGCUUUCCCCUA
Sorex fumeus (smoky shrew) is the source of this 164-nucleotide small nuclear RNA. RefSeq annotates it as U1 spliceosomal RNA. The record is from RefSeq and is a predicted model, not a curated record. NCBI's taxonomy places the organism in Eukaryota, Metazoa, Chordata, Mammalia, Eulipotyphla, Soricidae. The transcript has a single exon.